Molecule: microRNA precursor, 103 nt
Filed under: Marmota monax (woodchuck)
Lineage: Eukaryota; Metazoa; Chordata; Mammalia; Rodentia; Sciuridae
Source: RNAcentral
AGUGGGAUAACUGGGUCAAAUGGUGUCUCCAUUCCUUGUUCUUUGAGGAAUCUCCAUACUGUUUUCCAGAGUGAUUGCACUAAUUUGCACUCCCACCAGCAAU